This is a long non-coding RNA of Brassica napus (rape), 1761 nucleotides long. RefSeq lists it as uncharacterized. The record is from RefSeq and is a predicted model, not a curated record. The transcript has 6 exons. Lineage: Eukaryota; Viridiplantae; Streptophyta; Magnoliopsida; Brassicales; Brassicaceae.
AUCUGUAACCAUAAUGGGCUUCAAAUUUUUUUUAGGGAUUCAUUGUUACCGUGCUUUGCCUCUUCCACUUCUCCUUCUCCGUUAAUCUUUGACUCCAGGGACAGUGGAUGCUUCUCCAACUUUUAGCCUCCCCUAUCAUUCAACGGGUUUCUCUUAAUUUUUCGCAAAAAGCAAUUAUCUCAAAGCGAAAGGCAGAGAGAAAACGUUAAGGGCAGAGCCCGACCCCUUCUUCUUCUUCGUGAAAAAGCUUCUGAAGCCCAGAAAAAGGAAGCAGUUUUAUAUUAAAUCUACUAGAUUUUUCAUCAGAUAAUUGACCCUAAAGCGAGCUUCUUUCACGUCUUCCCUUUUCAUCAUCUCAUCGUUCCAACUCCAUAUCUAUCACCCUCCCCCACUCUCUGUUCAUCUCAAAGACCGGAAACGCUCUUGAUGCUGCAGAGGGUAUUAGCCGUGAAGCUGAACGCCGAGGCUGUCCUGCGUCUAUCGUCUCCAACGACGAAUUCGACUCGGGCAAGGAGACUCUCCAGAUUCUUUUAAGGAAUUUUGGAGGUUUCUUCUUCAAAGAAACUUGGGAAACUCUUGGUUGCAACGAGUUCGCUUUGCAGUGUUUGGGCUAGGUGAUUCAGGUUAUCAGAAGUACAAUGUAAGUGCAUCUGCCACAUUGUGUCAUCUGUUUCACGUUCUUCUCAACAUACAUUUUAUUUCUGGUUCUGUUUUGAUGUAUUCAUCAAUAUGAAGGAAAAAAGUAGGCUUUACCGAGUAAAAAGUAUACUAGCUAACUAAAGAUUCCCACAACCAGAAAUCUUGAGAUGUGUCUGAAUUAUUGUUCCCUCCAAGAGAAGAUUUCUCAGAUGGUUCAGAUCGAACGCAGCGGCGCCACAACUGAUGUCAUGAAGAACUACUUCAUUGGGAGUGUGUUGAGCGGUGGAGGAAGUGUGCCAUCACCAAAGGCCACACCUGAAGCUUGGGUGAACAUGGUCAACGAGAUUCAGAAGGCUGCUCUUUCCACCCGCCUUGGGAUCCCCAUGAUCUAUGGGAUUGAUGCUGUCCACGGUCACAACAACAUGAAUGGCGCCACCAUUUUCCUUCACAAUGUGGGCCUUGGAGUCACCAGGCAAGUCUUUUAACUGUUCUAAUCUUCAUGACUAAAAUUUUGUAAGGCUAUUAACGUGAGACUAGCUUUAAUAUUUUUGUUUCUUUAUUUACUUAUCCUGUAGGUGAGGUGUGUUUAGAUUUAUGAAUCCAUUGUUUUUUUUGUCUCAUUAUGUUUUGUUGGAUUUUGUUUUCAUCAGGAGGCUUCAAAUGUCUCUGCAGUUGCGCAAAAGAGAUGGAAUCUGAAUGAUUUUGACAUUGGAAAGCCUCUUUGAAAAGGCAAGUUUGGUCACGCUUAUCUUGCUCGAGAGAAGCGGGUUAGUAUCCAUUCACACAUAACAUUUGUUUUAGAUCUUUACAUUGUUUUUUUUCCUCAAAUUCUCACACAUUGUAUGCAACUGUGAAAGAGAGCAACCACAUUGUCUCCCUGAAGGUUCUGUUCAAGACUCAGCUUCAACAAUCUCAAAUUGAGCAUCAGUUAAGAAGAGAAGUUGAGAUUCAGUCACAUCUUCGUAACCCCAAUAUACUCCGGCUCUAUGGUAACUUCUAUGAUCCGAAAAGGGUUUAUUUGAUACUUGAGUAUGCUGCUAGAGGCGAGCUUUACAAGGAGCUUCAGAAAUGCAAGUACUUCAGCGAAAGACGAGCUGCAACUGUUGGUGCAUUCCUUUUCCU